UCCGAGUUGCUUUCAUUCAUGUUGAUGAAAGUACAACUGAUGAAAGCACCCGACGGGUGUUAGAGGAAAGGUAGUAUAGAUUCUAAUAGGUGACAUUUCCCAAUGUCAAUAAUUUUUAGUUUUGAAAACAUUGGACCAUGACUCUUGUUAUUACCACCGUCAUCUAUUUCUUCAUUUCGAUUAUGGUUUCCAGUCCCUC
RNAcentral lists this long non-coding RNA (199 nucleotides) under Trifolium pratense (red clover). RNAcentral describes it as "long non-coding RNA (TPRA_LNC008825)". The record is from RNAcentral. Lineage: Eukaryota; Viridiplantae; Streptophyta; Magnoliopsida; Fabales; Fabaceae.